This is a long non-coding RNA of Salvia miltiorrhiza (redroot sage), 647 nucleotides long. RefSeq lists it as uncharacterized. The record is from RefSeq and is a predicted model, not a curated record. The transcript is spliced from 2 exons. NCBI's taxonomy places the organism in Eukaryota, Viridiplantae, Streptophyta, Magnoliopsida, Lamiales, Lamiaceae.
UUUCUGAAGUAUUUCAUCUUUCCCGCACAAAACAAAAAUAAUUCAUACUCCUUCACUAAAGAGAAAACCGCCAUUCUGCUUAUCUUUUAUUUUCAAUUUUAUCUACAUACACCACUCAAGCUAAAUCGCACCAAAGAUUUGCUCGUGUUGAAUUUCUCCUUCGUCCGAUUUGUUGCAGUCUCGGCGCCCUCAUUUCCAGCGACUACCACAACGCCUGCCUCGUCCCUCUCUCAAUCUUUGCAGGAUGAAGCCCUGAGGCUGGAACACGGCUGCUGAGAAGGCAUGCUAAAGGCUUGGAGCUUUGGAUGUGCUGGAUUGCGGAUGGAGAAAACAUAAAUCUAGAGUUAGCUUGGGUUAUGUAAGUGAGUUUUGAAGCGAGUAAUCUGUAUUUAGUUAUUUCAUUUACUCUUGUUUGUCUACAUUUGAUUCAUUUAAAUUUAAUACUUCAAGUGGAAUGCCAAAAUCGGAUUUAGAAUGAGUGGACUAGUAGCUAUACAAAGAUAUUCUCUGGUAGUUUAUUUUUCCCAUUUCUUGUUUUCCAUGUAGUAUGUGUAGCUUCGCCCAUUCUCCUUUAUUCAUUAAUGUUUUAUGUUGCACACUAUCUUAUUUUGGUUCUAUCAAUGAUAACAAUAAACCAAUAUUGUUUC